GCCAAUAGCGGGAGCUCUCAAACCACCGGAAGAUGGCAGCCGCAUACUAUCCCAUACAAGAAACAGACAUAUCUCCAAACCUUCGGAUGCCAUGCAAGAAGAUAACCCGAACCAAUGGCGUCAGUGGUCAUCCGCCAUUGGAGGGCGUGGUCACGUGCUUACCUGGUCAAGCCGAGGAGAAAGAGGUUGUCGCACGCACUUGUUGAACUUUGUGUUCAUAACAUCGGCAGGAGCUACCUGUCCUCACUGGACGUCUGGACUCAAACAGUUCUGCACGCCAUCUGCAUCUCCCACCGGAACUGUGAGUACGCCAUCCCUAACGGUUGCGCACCAAAAGCAGCGGGUCGGCCCGACGUGCGCUGGACAAGGUAGGAGUACCGGUAGUGUGUGAAUGUGGGCCCACGUUUAAUAUUGUUACGCUUGUUGCCAUAUUUAAACAGU
Long non-coding RNA from Syngnathus acus (greater pipefish), 441 nucleotides. RefSeq lists it as uncharacterized. The transcript has 3 exons. The record is from RefSeq and is a predicted model, not a curated record. Lineage: Eukaryota; Metazoa; Chordata; Actinopteri; Syngnathiformes; Syngnathidae.